Molecule: long non-coding RNA, 1012 nt
Filed under: Medicago truncatula (barrel medic)
Lineage: Eukaryota; Viridiplantae; Streptophyta; Magnoliopsida; Fabales; Fabaceae
Description: long non-coding RNA (MTRU_LNC000049)
Source: RNAcentral
CGAAUGGAUCAACGGCCAACAUAGUUUCAAGAUCCACGUACCAGCAACCUCCUUAAAAAAACAACAGGCAUAAUAGCUAUUUCGAGCAUAACAUUCCACAACCACAAGGACUGAUACGAAAAAGAAGACGGUACCAGAGUGGAGGUUGACCUGACGACUUGUGUAACACCCCGUUUUCCCAACAUAAAAAUUUCAUAACAAAUAAUCAGAGUUUUCCACAUAAACGGAAUGCUACACUUCUCAAAAAUCAUAAAUGAAAUAAUUAACUAAUUAUCCUUCCAAAAAUCAUCAACAUAAAUAUUCAAAACUUCGCAGCGGAUUUAUUUCAACAAUAUAAAUAGUCUUGGUACGAAGGCCUCAUCAAAACAUCUCAUAAAAAUUCAAUGAACAACUUAAUCAUGUAUAUUCAUAAGCAACAACAUAUUCAUCAUCUUAUAAUAAUAUAAACAACAACAUGAUCAUUAAUAUUCCAUGGUUUGUCAUCAAUCAACAACUUCAACGAUUCGACGACGACAACGUCAACCUGACAACACAGCUACGUGAGAGUACACCACCUCUUAUAAUACGACAACGUCAGAGUACACCACCUCUUACAAAAUAACAACGUAAGGGUACACCACCUCUUAUAGAAUAACAACGUAAGAGUACACCACCUCUUAUAAACAACAACGUAGACAACACUAACAACUUAAGACUCCAAUACUUUGAAAAGACAACUUACAACUUUACAACUUAGACCAACACCAUUUAGACAUAUGCAGCAAGUUACCAUCAAUAAUAAUCAUUGUUAUCGUGAUUUUCGGGUGUCAAGUCAUUAAUUAGGCUUGAACCUUUCAAUCUUUGAUAUUCUCUAUUUUUUCUUGGGAAGGGCAAAAUUGAGAAAAACCCUUAGAGUCUAAGUUCGGGGGUCGUUUUCGCUACGGGAAGGUGUUAGGCACCCGGAACGAUUAUGGUAUUCCAUAAGAACCGUUCUCCUAAGUUUAUUCUUACGCUUUAUUUUUAUUGCCUANNN